AGUGAACGCUGGCGGUAGACCUAACACAUGCAAGUCGAACGGCAGCACAGUAAGAGCUUGCUCUUACGGGUGGCGAGUGGCGGACGGGUGAGGAAUACAUCGGAAUCUACUUUUUCGUGGGGGAUAACGUAGGGAAACUUCCGCUAAUACCGCAUACGACCUCCGGGUGAAAGCAGGGGAUCUUCGGACCUUGCGCGAUUGAAUGAGCCGAUGUCGGAUUAGCUAGUUGGCGGGGUAAAGGCCCCCCAAGGCGACGAUCCGUAGCUGGUCUGAGAGGAUGAUCAGCCACACUGGAACUGAGACACGGUCCAGACUCCUACGGGAGGCAGCAGUGGGGAAUAUUGGACAAUGGGCGCAAGCCUGAUCCAGCCAUACCGCGUGGGUGAAGAAGGCCUUCGGGUUGUAAAGCCCUUUUGUUGGGAAAGAAAAGCAGCAGGUUAAUACCCCGCUGUUCUGACGGUACCCAAAGAAUAAGCACCGGCUAACUUCGUG
Molecule: ribosomal RNA, 492 nt
Filed under: uncultured bacterium
Lineage: Bacteria
Description: partial 16S ribosomal RNA
Rfam family: Bacterial small subunit ribosomal RNA
Source: RNAcentral